Molecule: ribosomal RNA, 486 nt
Filed under: uncultured bacterium
Lineage: Bacteria
Description: partial 16S ribosomal RNA
Rfam family: Bacterial small subunit ribosomal RNA
Source: RNAcentral
GACGAACGCUGGCUGCGUGCUUAACACAUGCAAGUCGAACGCUGAAGCCCGCAGCUUGCUGUGGGUGGAUGAGUGGCGAACGGGUGAGUAACACGUGAGUAACCUGCCCCUGACUUCGGGAUAAGCCCGGGAAACUGGGUCUAAUACCGGAUACGACCAUCGGACGCAUGUCUGGUGGUGGAAAGUUUUUUCGGUUGGGGAUGGGCUCGCGGCCUAUCAGUUUGUUGGUGAGGUAAUGGCUCACCAAGACGACGACGGGUAGCCGGCCUGAGAGGGCGACCGGCCACACUGGGACUGAGACACGGCCCAGACUCCUACGGGAGGCAGCAGUGGGGAAUAUUGCACAAUGGGGGAAACCCUGAUGCAGCGACGCAGCGUGCGGGAUGACGGCCUUCGGGUUGUAAACCGCUUUCAGCAGGGAAGAAGCGAAAGUGACGGUACCUGCAGAAGAAGUACCGGCUAACUACGUGCCAGCCGCCGCCGUAA